Triticum aestivum (bread wheat) is the source of this 2492-nucleotide long non-coding RNA. RefSeq lists it as uncharacterized. Lineage: Eukaryota; Viridiplantae; Streptophyta; Magnoliopsida; Poales; Poaceae. The transcript is spliced from 7 exons. The record is from RefSeq and is a predicted model, not a curated record.
UGGUGCCUCCUCCCCUAGACGGCCCCACCCACCUGCUCGCCGAGGUAGCCCCCCCGCCUCUGCCUCUCCACCCCAUAUCCCCGGCCGGCGACCCACUCUGUGCCUCCACCUCAUCCCUCAACCCCAGCGCCGCCGCCUCCGCCUCCAGGGUCCUCGACGCCGCGAUCUCCCUCGCGUGCUUCGACCAUCCGCAGGCGGCGCCGAUACGCUAUGCGUCGGGAGCUCCGCCCUCGCCGCGAGCUGGUGGUCCGCUCGUGUGCCCGUCCUCGUCGAGAAAUUGAAAUUGGGGGAUCGUGUUCUCUCCGAACUGGAUGCAGUUAUUAGGCCGCUUAGUUGUGCCAAUGCUGUCAGUGAUAAUCGAAAUUAAAUGUGGUGCGGUGGUAUUACCCGUUCAACUCUCUGCGGUUCAGUGUUUGCCUCAAAAUUCUGUUUGCCCCAUCAGUCUGUGAGCUAACAGUAUGCUAUUUUUCCUGCGUUACUGUUGAUGUUUUGUGAUGUUUCUUUCUUGUGCAGUGGGCAGUGGCGGGGCAUUCCUAUGAUCUGUUGCACGCUGUUGCGAAAACGGCGCUGUUAUCCCCUCGUUACCAGUGUGCCUCUUUCCUUUGCCAUAUUACAGAGGAAGAUGGAGAAACCAUUUAUGAAAAGGGUACAGUUGCUGUGGAUGUAAUGUAACGGCACAUCUAUCUUAUCAAGUGAUUCCCAGUGAUGGCUCAUACUCAAGCAGUUUUUGUCUGUGUGUGGCAGGGCCCUUUUGUGGCACCUUGAUCCAUCAAAUCUAAACCAUGACUUCAGUGAUGCUACGGGAAGUAAUUACAAGGACCUUGUUUUGUCUGACAAAAGAAUUACAUGAUCAGGUAGCAUGGUGUGUGGUUGGCAUUCUUAGUUUGCUCCCCACCUGCGUUCUUGGAGAUGCGAUCAUUAUUCCAGAUCUGUUUGCUUGCGACGGGUAUGGGUUCUGUGCUAGGACUUGUGCACGCAGGGUUAUCAUCAGUACAACAACAACAACAACAACAAAGCCUUUAAUCCCAAACAAGUUGGGGUAGGCUAGAGAAUCGGUAAAUCUUCAUGGAAAACAUACAAUCACGACCAUCAAAGGGGUCGGUCAUCUUCAAAUAUAGUUCUGCUUGGUCAAUGGUUACAAAUUUCCCUUUCUGGUUAAGUUUCGCUACUGCUUUACUUUCUCGUCAGGAAAGUUCACGAGGUUAUUUAUCAGAAAUAUUAUCUGAGAAAACUGCUGAAUCAGUAAGUGAUAACAGUCUUGCUCAGAGGGCAUGGAUUACCUUUUGUGGGUCUUAUGUCCUUCUAGUAUAGAUGAAUGCCACAUGCUAGCUAACAAUAUGGUGGAGGUAUCACAUUCUUGGGCCAGGAACAACAACGGACACCCAAGUUAUGCAUACCAUACUAGUACUGUAAAUCACAGGAGGAAAUCGCGAAUGCCCACAUUGAGGAUACGGAGAAACUUCAUGUUUCAACAAACAGUGCCUAUUCCCUUAUUACAGCAUUACGCAAACACUGGGCCCUUCGUGGCAUCUUGAUCCGUCAAUUCUAAAACAUGAUCUUUAAGUGAUACUAAUGGAAGCAAUUACAAGACCCUUGCUUUGUAUGGAAGGAAUUACAUGCUCAGGUAGCAUGGCGUGCAUUUUAAUACGCUUUGUUUGCUCUCCACACGCAUCUUCGAUAUACGAUCAUUAUUCCAUAUCCGGUUUCUUGCAACUUUGUUUCUCCAACCAUUUAUACACUUCAAAAUGAAAGUGCAUAAAUUACAGUUCAAAGGCGUCGUGAGCCGGAAACCAACAAAGUUAGAGUUUAUUCUAUAAAACUGGGUUGUGAGCAUGGACAGGUGAACUCUGCAAAGCUUGGAUACUUAUUUUCUUUUUCGAGGUAGGAUACCUAAUUAUUUGUGGUGAUGUGAAAACUGAAAAGAAAGAGGAGAGUUAAACAGUUUCUUUCUUGAUGAAGAAGUGAUAGUUUGGUAAUACCAGAAACUGGAAAUGAGUAGAAUCACCAUUAGAGGCUCAGUUGUUACUUAUGAUGGGAUUAGCUCCAAUAUGCAACCAUUAAUAGUCUUAGCAAUAAAGUAUCUAAACAAAGUACUCCAGCCGGCCAGCCCUAAUAAACCACAUGCUACUGUCUUUGCUCUCUUACUCAAAAAGUGUGCCCGUGCAGAUAGGACUGCUGAGGCAUCCUCAGUCUGUCAUGUUCUCACCAGCUAAUCAAAGUCUCACAAGGACGGCUCACUGGCAAAUGAGCUCGCAUGCUUUGGUCAGAUCCCAACAACCCCUCCUGUGCGUAAUUUGUUUCAUAUGCAUCGAUCCUUGUUCUUGCUUUAUGAUCUUCAAGUUGCUAGGGCUUGAUGAGAAAUUGAUUAUUUACUGCAUGCAUCCGAGUCUAAAAAUUUAUUGCUGAAUGAGGCCCAUACUCUUAUGUUUUUAGGUGCGAACAUGACAUGGGUAUGAGGCCUCUUUGGUUCAAAGGAUUUCUACAGGAAAUUU